GGAUCCUGGCUCAGAACGAACGCUGGCGGCAGGCCUAACACAUGCAAGUCGAACGGGACCUUCGGGUCUAGUGGCAGACGGGUGAGUAACGCGUGGGAAUCUACCCAUCUCUACGGAACAACUCCGGGAAACUGGAGCUAAUACCGUAUACGUCCUUCGGGAGAAAGAUUUAUCGGAGAUGGAUGAGCCCGCGUUGGAUUAGCUAGUUGGUGGGGUAAUGGCCUACCAAGGCGACGAUCCAUAGCUGGUCUGAGAGGAUGAUCAGCCACACUGGGACUGAGACACGGCCCAGACUCCUACGGGAGGCAGCAGUGGGGAAUAUUGGACAAUGGGCGCAAGCCUGAUCCAGCCAUGCCGCGUGAGUGAUGAAGGCCCUAGGGUUGUAAAGCUCUUUCAACGGUGAAGAUAAUGACGGUAACCGUAGAAGAAGCCCCGGCUAACUUCGUG
This 447-nucleotide ribosomal RNA is filed under the name uncultured bacterium. RNAcentral describes it as "bacterial SSU rRNA". It matches the Rfam family "Bacterial small subunit ribosomal RNA", at positions 14 to 507 of the family's 1533-position model. The record is from RNAcentral.